Molecule: long non-coding RNA, 927 nt
Organism: Prinia subflava (tawny-flanked prinia)
Lineage: Eukaryota; Metazoa; Chordata; Aves; Passeriformes; Cisticolidae
Exons: 5
Source: RefSeq, a predicted model, not a curated record
CCCUGAAUAAGGAUCCACAGAGCUUUGCUUAGUCUGUAAGAAUAACAUGCAGUCCCAUUUCUUUUCAGUGUUGUUGUAAGCUGUAUCUUAGGACUGGAAUGCCAGUUUCAUUGCCUCUACAUACUAGGAGGUGACUCCUUUGUGAAAUAGCAUGGAAGUUCUAGUGAAGUGUAUGUGUUAUGGAUUCUGCUGGAAAUAAGCACAUUUUCUGGAAGUCAUUCUGCAGGGAUGGUGUCACUAAACUUGAGCUCACUUGUCACAAUGGAAUUUAAUUAUCUGCUGGAGAGAAGCCCUGACAGCUGUGGCGUAGGUUUUUCAAUGUGAUGUUGCCUGGAUCACAAGAAAAAUAUCAAGGGCUGGUGAGAACAGCCAUGUUCUAAAAGCAUCUCCGCCUGGGUUAGACCACUGCCUACCAAAGAGGGCUUAGGUUGGAAGCUCAGUGUUUGUGUACCACAUUGCCCCUGGGUUUGCCUUUGGCUUGUGCUUCCUGAGGGAGAGGCAGUGGGUCUGCUGCUGGUUCCUAAAACAUUGACAUCUGUGAUGGCCUUCUGUAGUGAAACCAUUUCCCUAGCAGCAGCAUCAGAGAAAUGGAAACCUAAGGGGGAAGAUUGUCCAGAGGUGACCAGAAAGGAGACAUGUGUGCACCCUUGGGAUGCUGGAGGUGGCUGAUCUGUGCUCUCUGACAGCAGUGGAGGUGCUCAAGCUGGGGCAGCAUCAGAGGAAACAGGCUUCAAGGAGCUCCAAGCUGUCCCCAGCACUCUGCUCAUCGACCCUUCUUACUUCUUUUCAGUAGCCUAAAUAAUUUUUAAAUAGUUUGGAUAUACAAUUAGAUUCACUUUAUAGAAGGGUUUAUACUGUACCUUACUUAAAUCUUAAAUUUUCUAAUGAUUGUAGCCAAUAGCAAUUAUUUUAAAAUAAUUAACACAA